CUUGUAGAUGCACCUUUUUACUGUUGUUUCAAAACCACAGACUAAUAUUUUGAAUUUCGCUUGUUGAAAUAUUGAAACGGAGAAAGAUGUUUAUUUAUGAAUACCCAACUCCAGUCUAACAUCAAGGAAGCGGCUUCGCGAUAGAGCGGCAUAAAAGGUUUGUCAAUUUGGUUAAUCGAAUGCUUGGCCAUAAAUUUGACUUAAACAAGGAGUGUCAAGGAUACGCAAAACGAGCCCAGUCAGAGAUACAAAUACGGAUACAGAUACGGACACCGCCGAUGCAGAUGUAGAUGGAGAUGGAGUUGAGGAUUGUGUAUAUACGAUGACAAGCGAUGUUUUUAUGACCACACGCUGUGACGCCAGUAUUGACGUCGACGUUAUCGAUAAUAAACCACAAUAGUUGUUGAUAGUAGCAUGAAUGAAUCAAACGAGUGAGUGUGAGUAUGAGUGUGUGAAUGAGUGAGUAAGUGAAUGAAUUGCAGCUCGCAAGGCUCGCAAAAGCGUCACGUUACUUUACUUCAGUUCCCAUUUCGACGGCUAAAAGCCGUGAACAGUGUACAAAGUACAGGAAUCGGGGCAGAGGAGAGAGGACAGAGGACAGAAGAGGGAUCAAUCAUUUAUGCAUUGGCCUUUUGCGUUUUUAAUGGGAAAUUUGCUGGCGCUACGUGUUUGAAAAUCGAAAAAUAGCUGCGGGGGUUGAGGCGGGGGGUUGCCCCCAACACAGUGCAGCAUGUCGUACGUGGUCAAGCCAGGUUUCACUCUAAUAGAAAAGCGACAAAACAAAAGUAAAUAGAAAAAAAGCAGAAACCAAUAACGAAUCCAAUAUAAGCAAUGGAUUGAAGUAAAUUGAAAUGGACGAGAGAAUACCCAAUAUUUAAUAUGAAUAUACAAAAGAAUGAAUAUGUAUCAUGACCAAAAAGUUAUUUAAUUAACUCUCAAGGAGCUGUCUAAUAUCUUUCAAACUUCAUUUUUAAUAUACCCCAUUGGCUGUGCACAAUUAAUGGGUAUCCAAGUAAUUGCAAGCGUGGGGAGGAGUUUUGGCUAUAAAUGUUUAGCUUAAUUUAGUUAAGUUUGCGUGACAAAAAGUUCUGCAGCAAAGUGGAAACGAAAGUGUGUGAAAGUAAAUUGAACGAUGCGAUAUGUUUAUUAUUUUAUUGGAUUAUAAUUAUGAAUGGACAAUAACAAUUACAGCAAUAGCAACAGCAACAACAACAACAUCAGUAGCGAUAACAAUAAAUGAAAGGGCUCAGUGCGUCACUUAACUCAAUUACUUGGACAAAUAGCUGCAUGUGUGUGGGCGGUGCACAUGUAUGUUUUAAUCAACUGUCGCUCAAGCGAAGUGGAGCUGGAAGGUGGUAGGUGGUAGGUGGGAGGUGGGAUGUGGGAGGUGGAGGAGACAAACAAAUCAAAUUGUUUUCGCUGUCGGAAUGAGGCUGCAAUGGGCCAUUGGCCAUUGACGGCCAUAAUUCUUGGCAAGCGCAACAGAGGCGACGACAGGCGGCAACUAAUAAAGGGAGACUGGAGACCAAUAACCAAUAAGGGAUGCACUAACAACAUCCACACAUCCACACAUCCACCACCGGAGAGCAAGCCGCAAACAAACCUAUAAAAAUGACAAGCAACUGCAACAAACGAGCGCAUCUAACUCAAACGCUAACCAGAUGCCUGAAUCCUAUCUAGAGGCGACACAUUGUCCUUGGCUUGGCUUAGCUUGGCAACAAGCCUUCUCCUGCUCUCCCUCUCCCCCUCCCCCCCUUCAGUAGGUUGCCUGCCAACUUCAGUCAAGUCAAAUGCCAAACUCGAACCGAAACCAUUCGCUUCACACACACACACACACACCGAACCGAGGCGCAACAAAUUGUGAGAAAUGCGCAAAAAACGAAAAUGCAGCAGCCACACAAGCAGUUGCAGCAUGUGGCAAGAAGGAUGCGGAAGGGGUUGCAGUUGGGGGCAAAUUGACAGGAUAUGGCCAUGAUAUGCUCGCCUGGCCCCACACAACAACAGGUUUUCCCUGCCACAAAAUUUAUGGUCUCCAUAUGCAACUAGAGGUAUUCCGUUCAAAUAGAACGUACUUGCGGGGCAGGAGCAGAGGAAGGAGGAAGGAGGCAAGCAGUCGAUGGAAUUUUACGUGUUAGCAGCGCCGCAGGGACAACAAAACAUAACUCAAUCAUAUAAUGGUCACAUUGCUUCUGUGGUUCGUUGCAAACAUAAAAAAUGCUCACUGAUGUCUGCUGCUGCAUUGAAUGAGAUGUUUCAAAAACUCGAUUGAGAAACUCGAAUAUGCACUCUCCUUGCGGUUCUCAAGCAUGACAAAUGAUAAUGGCCUUGCAUCUGGCAUUUGUCCUGAUAACUAACAAUAAACGUGAGCGAACACUCUUCAGCAGAUAAAAGAUAAUCCACUUACGGGGCAAGCAUAACAAGUAAAUCGAGGCAAAAAGAAAACUUCAAUAGUUUUCUAAUAAUUUGCAUCCGCUGGUUCAACUUAGAAAAUUGUAAUACUUUUAUCAAGUAUAUUGAGGUAUGUUUCUUCAAUAUUUCAAUAUAUUUUAAAUACAUUGGAUUGGA
Molecule: long non-coding RNA, 2565 nt
Organism: Drosophila sulfurigaster albostrigata
Lineage: Eukaryota; Metazoa; Arthropoda; Insecta; Diptera; Drosophilidae
Exons: 2
Source: RefSeq, a predicted model, not a curated record